Molecule: long non-coding RNA, 637 nt
Organism: Phyllostomus discolor (pale spear-nosed bat)
Lineage: Eukaryota; Metazoa; Chordata; Mammalia; Chiroptera; Phyllostomidae
Exons: 3
Source: RefSeq, a predicted model, not a curated record
CAUAUACAUUCCAACUCUUGAGUCCCCUAUCAGUUUCAUAAGAGCUGUUGUGAUUCAGCCUUUUCCACAAAAGGCUGCUGACUAAUGCCUUUUUCUUGUUCUUAACAUGAAUAAAGCAAACCAUAUUUUGUUUAUAACUGAUUAGAUUCUAGAGCUGUACUAAUAUGGUCAGUAACCACUAGCCACGUCUUGUUACUUACAUUUAAAUUUAUUAACAUAUAAUUAAAAAUUUAGUUCCUCAGUCUCAUUAGCAACAUUUCAGUAGCCUUGUGUGGCUAGUAGCUACUGUAUUGGACAUGCAGAUACAGAGCAUUUUUAUCAUCACAGAAGAUUCUGUUGGACAGCACUGCUUUAAAGAAUCAGUUAUUUGGGGGGAUUUAUAUUGUCUUCUGUGGGUACAAGAGUCAUGGUCUUUAUGCACCUUCACAAGUACUUAACAAGGUUACCCCUUACAUAAUGAUUGUUUUACUCUGGGUGAUAAUGGUAUGAAAUUACUGAACACACUCUGAUCUCUAACACCGUAAUCUACCCCAAAAUGAAGUUAGUAGGGUAUCUGCCACCUAAAAUGAUUUCCCAAAGAAGUGAUAGAAUGUUUUUUAAAUUAGACCUUUGACAUUUUCCCCAUGUUUUUUAUGUC